Molecule: ribosomal RNA, 679 nt
Filed under: Enterobacter hormaechei
Lineage: Bacteria; Pseudomonadati; Pseudomonadota; Gammaproteobacteria; Enterobacterales; Enterobacteriaceae
Also listed under: 1 other name
Description: Large Subunit Ribosomal RNA; lsuRNA; LSU rRNA
Rfam family: Bacterial large subunit ribosomal RNA
Source: RNAcentral
GGUUAAGCGACUAAGCGUACACGGUGGAUGCCCUGGCAGUCAGAGGCGAUGAAGGACGUGCUAAUCUGCGAAAAGCGACGGCGAGGUGAUAUGAACCUUUGACCCGUCGAUGUCCGAAUGGGGAAACCCAGUGUGUUCCGACACACUAUCGUUAACUGAAUACAUAGGUUAACGAGGCGAACCGGGGGAACUGAAACAUCUAAGUACCCCGAGGAAAAGAAAUCAACCGAGAUUCCCCCAGUAGCGGCGAGCGAACGGGGAGCAGCCCGGAGUCUGAAUCAGCUUGUGUGUUAGUGGAACGGUCUGGAAAGUCCGGCGGUACAGGGUGAUAGUCCCGUACACGAAAACACACUUGCUGUGAACUCGAAGAGUAGGGCGGGACACGUGGUAUCCUGUCUGAAUAUGGGGGGACCAUCCUCCAAGGCUAAAUACUCCUGACUGACCGAUAGUGAACCAGUACCGUGAGGGAAAGGCGAAAAGAACCCCGGCGAGGGGAGUGAAAAAGAACCUGAAACCGUGUACGUACAAGCAGUGGGAGCCUCUUUAUGGGGUGACUGCGUACCUUUUGUAUAAUGGGUCAGCGACUUAUAUUCUGUAGCAAGGUUAACCGUAUAGGGGAGCCGAAGGGAAACCGAGUCUUAACUGGGCGUUAAGUUGCAGGGUAUAGACCCGAAACCCG